Molecule: long non-coding RNA, 1008 nt
Organism: Balaenoptera ricei (Rice's whale)
Lineage: Eukaryota; Metazoa; Chordata; Mammalia; Artiodactyla; Balaenopteridae
Exons: 2
Source: RefSeq, a predicted model, not a curated record
CUGACUGCCUACGCCACUCCGGUUCUUCCAGGUCCGCUCCGCGCAGCACAGAAGCUAAAUCCACAGCCCGGAAGCUUCUUGCACCUUUGGAGCGGGACUUGGUCGUCACAGAACGGGGAGAUACUCAGGCAGGAAAGAGGAAUUGAUGCCCAGUUACCCGCGGGAUGCCUUUGGGGAGAGACCUCCGGAGCCAACGCCCUCCCUUGGAAAUAGGUUUCCGUGCCCGCGCGCGGGCCAUCUGGAGCGGGGACAUCAGAGGCGUGGCCUCGGUGCUGCCGUGGAUCCGAGAGCUCGCGUCGUGUGAAGGGACUCCCUUAGGCUCACGGCCCUACAGCCUCUGUCAAGUGGAAAGGUGCUGGGCGGGCUUAAAAGCCCUUGCUUAGGCCCCUUAAGCAAAGACUGAGUUGUAAGCUUCAGAGAGCACAAGUGCCAUGUGUUGGAGGCACCAGUGUGGAGCAUCUAAUGUCCCUGCGGGUGUGAGCGUUCAGAUGGGAAACCUGAACAGGAACUUCCACAGGAACGCUUGGACCGAGCCCAUCUUGCGCUGAAAUUGAGAAAUUUGGAAGUGCAGGUGCACCCCGGUUCCAUUCACUGUGUCAAAGGCAGCCUUGUUUUUGUACUUAAACACCCUUCAGGGUGUGCAGUUUAGGUCUUCUCUGCUGCCAGAGGCAGGAGGCACAACGUGCAAACGUUCAGCAAAGGAAGGACAAAAGUUAACUACUGGAGACAACUCUAGAUGCUUUUUUCAGCCCAGAGACAGCACCAGAGGAAUCUCCAUAACACAUCUUACCUUCCAUUAGUUCCUCCAUAUAUUUGCCUUCCCACAAUUUGCUGCCCUAGAAACUCAAAAGUCUUUUCCUUUGCCUUGUCAUUUAUCUAAAAAUUUAUUGUUCUUUUUUUGAGAUGCUAUAUAGGCCGAGUUCUAACCACUCUUUUGAGUUACUCACCUCCGAGUUGCUCCCAUGUGUUUGCGUGAUGCAUACAUUAAUAAACUUUUUUUAAAAUAAA